UCAAAGAAUAGUUUAUUUAAAAUAUUAAUUUUGGAGAUUAAUGAAAUAGUUAUUAUAUUUCUUUG
Molecule: transfer RNA, 65 nt
Filed under: Anthribidae sp. 2 ACP-2013
Lineage: Eukaryota; Metazoa; Arthropoda; Insecta; Coleoptera; Anthribidae
Description: tRNA-Pro
Source: RNAcentral